AAGUCGUAACAAGGUUUCCGUAGGUGAACCUGCGGAAGGAUCAUUAUUGAAUUUUGAAGUGGGACGCUUGAGCUGGCAUUGCAGGUGCUCGGCGUCUCCAUUCAUUCCAAUUCAAACACCUGUGCACCUCGAGAACGUGAGUUGGGUUAUUGGAUCUGUGGUUCAUUUAUUCCCUUAUUUGGGUUGAACUUAGUGAAAGUGCCCGCUUUCGUUUCUUAUUACAAACUCGUUAUAUUGUUUUGUAGAAUGUAUCGCCUUUAAAUAGGCAAAGUCUAAAUACAACUUUCAACAACGGAUCUCUUGGCUCUC
RNAcentral lists this unclassified non-coding RNA (309 nucleotides) under Fuscoporia gilva. RNAcentral describes it as "partial internal transcribed spacer region". The stretch from base 1 to 46 matches the Rfam family "Eukaryotic small subunit ribosomal RNA", at positions 1786 to 1831 of the family's 1831-position model. The record is from RNAcentral. Lineage: Eukaryota; Fungi; Basidiomycota; Agaricomycetes; Hymenochaetales; Hymenochaetaceae.